Long non-coding RNA from Dicentrarchus labrax (European seabass), 630 nucleotides. RefSeq lists it as uncharacterized. NCBI's taxonomy places the organism in Eukaryota, Metazoa, Chordata, Actinopteri, Moronidae. The transcript has 3 exons. The record is from RefSeq and is a predicted model, not a curated record.
GACCGGGUCGUUACAGCAGCAGACGGAGGUUAGCCUGUUAGCUUCAGCUAACUACAACAGAAUGUGCUGGAGAGCACGUAGUGACUACUGCGCGUGCGUGACAGAAAGUUUACGGUCAUACGGCGAGCGAAGAGGUGAGAGCUCCACCUUCCGUCUGUGGUCCAGUACAGAUCCAGAACCAGUUCUGUGAGAGGAACCCAGCAGGUGGCGAUGACGCCCAGGAGGACCGCCGUGACUGACCCCGCCCACCGCCACCCUCCAUUACACAGCGACCAAUCACAGCAAGACACCGAGACUCCAGGAAGCUCCGUCUGCUGACAGUGACGAGACGUUGCACAACCCCGAGACAGGACCAGGUCCAGAGACUCUACAGACAGACAGACAGACAGAGGAGAGACAGGGCAGUGAGACAGCAGAGGAGCAGCUGAGAGGACGACAUGCUGAGAGAGAGAGACAGCCUGAGAGAGAGACAGACUGAGCACUGUCUUCCUCCACCGAGAUGAAGCUGUUCUACAAUCUGACAUUUUAAAGGCCGAGCUGUAUAUUCAUCAGUGCCAGAGAAUACCCAGCAUGCACCACUUCCACCAACCUUCACAUUAACUUGUAUCUGAAUAAAACUACAAACACAAA